RNAcentral lists this long non-coding RNA (835 nucleotides) under Pan troglodytes (chimpanzee). Its description in RNAcentral is "long non-coding RNA NONPTRT005380". The record is from RNAcentral. Lineage: Eukaryota; Metazoa; Chordata; Mammalia; Primates; Hominidae.
GCACACCUCACACGGCACACAGGCACACCUCACACAUGGCACACAGGCACACCUCACAGACGGCACACAGGCGCACCUCACACACGGCACACAGGCACAUCUCACACACGGCACACAUGCACACCUCACACACACGGCACACGGGCACACCUCACACACACGGCACACGGGCACACCUCACACACACGGCACACAUGCACACCUCACACACGGCACACAUGCACACCUCACACACACGGCACACGCACACCUCACACACGGCACACAUGCACACCUCACACACGGCACACAUGCACACCUCAGACACACGGCACACGGGCACACCUCAGACACACGGCACACGGGCACACCUCACACACAUGGCACACGGGCACACCUCACACACACGGCACACAUGCACACCUCACACACACGGCACACGGGCACACCUCACACACACGGCACACGGGCACACCUCCCACACACGGCACACGGGCACACCUCAAACGACACACAGGCACACCUCACACACAAGUCUAUUCAGCUGCAAGUCCUGCCUCCACUUGCUGAGAACCUGCAUGACUGGGCACCAAGGAUACGGCACACACACACACCCACCCCACAUACAUACAGUCCACACACACACAACACAUAUACACCACACGCACCACAGAUGCACACCACACAUGCCACACACACAUACACUGCACACGCACCCUACACACACACCCCACAUGCUUACACAUACACCUCACCCCCCACCCCCAACAUAUGGGCCUACACACGAGUCCAUCCAGCUGCAUGUCCUGCCACCACUUGCUGAGAACCUGCGUGACUGGGCACCAAGGACACAAAA